AGUUAUUCAUCAAUUAGGCGCCAAAACAAACCUGUUUAUCAAACUUGUUUACGGAAGAAGUAGAAAAAAAUAUAAUUAGAGCAAUUUGGAUAUUACCUCAAAGCAGAAGACCUACCCUGCAAAUUUGGAAGUAAUAAGGCAUCACAGGGCUAACAAACACAGCAACCUCCAACCCUGCUGCAAGGUACAUAUAGACGUGAGUCCUGUGCCAAGUGGAACCAACAUUGGCCAGAAUCACAUACUACCUCGCAUGGCUGACCACAAGAAAAUCCUGGCAAACUACCACCACCUCCCAACAUGGUGUUCAAAUCAGUACCACCAUAAAGUAGCUGGACACGCAAAGCCAGCAAUGUUGGCUAAUUUUACACAGGGCUUAUGAAGCGCAGGGAUGAGAAUCAAUAUUUUACAGUAAAAAUUAGAAGUGGAGAUUAUUUUAAGAGAGUUAAAACCCUCAGUCCUUAACUUCUCAACUAGUAUAUCAAAGUAAUCUUACCUGGAAUCAAGUUAAGAUCAGUAUUCAGCUUGUUCCAGUCUUGAGGCUGUAUAAUAAAAUAAUUUUAGAAUAAUUUUAGAGAUUUAACGGUUUUACACAGAUGUGAUGUGUAUGAACGGUGUUAGACAUUGAGUGUUUAAUUCGUUUGUAAACUUGUAAAUAAACUUUUUUUUCAUGGACAACAUUAAUGGUAUUGACAGUAUUGCACUAAAGUAUAAUUAGUAGUUUAGUUUUGACUUAUGGGGUGUCAAAACAGCUUACUAAAGAGAUACUGUAUAUAAAACUUUUGGGCAAACAAAGCCCUUCUCAAAACCCUAGUGUUAAGUUGUAUUUAGGAUCAAAGCUACAGCUAGUUACUAAUUUUGUAAUUCUGUUGUGGCUUCUCAUAAAGACUCUCACCUUACUAAAUCCAACAUCAAUAAUAAAAUUGCCAUUAUCCGUCA
Molecule: long non-coding RNA, 936 nt
Organism: Nematostella vectensis (starlet sea anemone)
Lineage: Eukaryota; Metazoa; Cnidaria; Anthozoa; Actiniaria; Edwardsiidae
Exons: 2
Source: RefSeq, a predicted model, not a curated record